Long non-coding RNA from Sinocyclocheilus grahami, 391 nucleotides. NCBI's taxonomy places the organism in Eukaryota, Metazoa, Chordata, Actinopteri, Cypriniformes, Cyprinidae. The record is from Ensembl.
UCAGUUGCAUUUCUGAAUGUCAUUUAAAACAGUAUUCAUAUAUUUUUCAGAACAAGAAAAGACAUAUCCAGAGAAUAAGGAGUCCCUUACGGUACACCCGCCCCUAUCAGCCAAGGUUUGAAGGGAAAAACCUGCAUUCACGUUUCAGGUUUUUCAGGACUAUGGAGGAACAGCGUUUUAUACGGCGCCCAAAUUUUGCACUGAGGUACCAGAGGCAUCAUACAUAUCAGUGGUCCAGUCUACAGCUAAGGCGUAAGCCCAGAGCCUCUCCUCCUUCCAGACAGCAGUUCCACAAAGGCCUGAACAAGAAUAGCUCCACGGCACAUAUUGAACCCGGCAGAACAGACAUUUCUCGGCCAUCCUCUGGAAAAAGAUCAUCAUUGCCAUCUAC